RNAcentral lists this transfer RNA (73 nucleotides) under archaeon. RNAcentral's name for it is "tRNA-Met". It matches the Rfam family "tRNA". Rfam says of the family: Transfer RNA (tRNA) molecules are approximately 80 nucleotides in length. Their secondary structure includes four short double-helical elements and three loops (D, anti-codon, and T loops). The record is from RNAcentral.
GGCUCUGUAGCUCAGUGUUUAGAGCGCUGCUCUCAUGAGGCAGAGGUCGUGAGUUAAACUCUCACCAGAGCCA